AGGUAAGCUACUAAGAGCGAAUGGUGGAUGCCUUGACUGGUAAAGGCGAUGAAGGACGUACUAGACUGCGAUAAGCUACGGGGAGCUGUCAAGAAGCUUUGAUCCGUAGAUUUCCGAAUGGGGCAACCCAAUGUAUAGAGAUAUACAUUACCUAUAUAGGAGCGAACGAGGGGAAUUGAAACAUCUUAGUACCCUCAGGAAAAGAAAUCAAUAGAGAUUGCGUCAGUAGCGGCGAGCGAAAGCGCAAGAGGGCAAACCCAGUGCUUGCACUGGGGGUUGUAGGACUGCAAUGUGCAAGAGGUAAGUUUAGCAGAACAUUCUGGAAAGUAUAACCAUAGAGGGUGAUAGUCCCGUAUGCGAAAAACAAACCUUAGCUAGCAGUAUCCUGAGUAGGGCGGGACACGAGGAAUCCUGUCUGAAUCCGGGUCGACCACGAUCCAACCCUAAAUACUAAUACCAGAUCGAUAGUGCACAAGUACCGUGAGGGAAAGGUGAAAAGAACUGAGGUGAUCAGAGUGAAAUAGAACCUGAAACCAUUUGCUUACAAUCAUUCAGAGCCCUAUGUAGCAAUACAGGGUGAUGGACUGCCUUUUGCAUAAUGAGCCUGCGAGUUGUGGUGUCUGGCAAGGUUAAGCAAACGCGAAGCCGUAGCGAAAGCGAGUCUGAAUAGGGCGCUUAGUCAGAUGCUGCAGACCCGAAACGAAGUGAUCUAUCCAUGAGCAAGUUGAAGCUAGUGUAAGAACUAGUGGAGGACUGAACCCAUAGGCGUUGAAAAGCCCCGGGAUGACUUGUGGAUAGGGGUGAAAGGCCAAUCAAACUUCGUGAUAGCUGGUUCUCUCCGAAAUAUAUUUAGGUAUAGCGUUGUGUCGUAAUAUAAGGGGGUAGAGCACUGAAUGGGCUAGGGCAUACACCAAUGUACCAAACCCUAUCAAACUCCGAAUACCUUAUAUGUAAUCACAGCAGUCAGGCGGCGAGUGAUAAAAUCCGUCGUCAAGAGGGAAACAACCCAGACUACCAGCUAAGGUCCCUAAAUCUUACUUAAGUGGAAAACGAUGUGAAGUUACUUAAACAACCAGGAGGUUGGCUUAGAAGCAGCCAUCCUUUAAAGAAAGCGUAAUAGCUCACUGGUCUAGUGAUUUUGCGCGGAAAAUAUAACGGGGCUAAAGUAAGUACCGAAGCUGUAGACUUAGUUUACUAAGUGGUAGGAGAGCGUUCUAUUUGCGUCGAAGGUAUACCGGUAAGGAGUGCUGGAGCGAAUAGAAGUGAGCAUGCAGGCAUGAGUAGCGAUAAUUAAUGUGAGAAUCAUUAACGCCGUAAACCCAAGGUUUCCUACGCGAUGCUCGUCAUCGUAGGGUUAGUCGGGUCCUAAGUCGAGUCCGAAAGGGGUAGACGAUGGCAAAUUGGUUAAUAUUCCAAUACCAACAUUAGUGUGCGAUGGAAGGACGCUUAGGGCUAAGGGGGCUAGCGGAUGGAAGUGCUAGUCUAAGGUCGUAGGAGGUUGUACAGGCAAAUCCGUAUAACAAUACUCCGAGAACUGAAAGGCUUUUUGAAGUCUUCGGAUGGAUAGAAGAACCCCUGAUGCCGUCGAGCCAAGAAAAGUUUCUAAGUUUAGCUAAUGUUGCCCGUACCGUAAACCGACACAGGUGGGUGGGAUGAGUAUUCUAAGGCGCGUGGAAGAACUCUCUUUAAGGAACUCUGCAAAAUAGCACCGUAUCUUCGGUAUAAGGUGUGGUUAGCUUUGUAUUAGGAUUUACUCCGAAAGCAAGGAAACUUACAACAAAGAGUCCCUCCCGACUGUUUACCAAAAACACAGCACUCUGCUAACUCGUAAGAGGAUGUAUAGGGUGUGACGCCUGCCCGGUGCUCGAAGGUUAAUUGAUGGGGUUAGCAUUAGCGAAGCUCUUGAUCGAAGCCCGAGUAAACGGCGGCCGUAACUAUAACGGUCCUAAGGUAGCGAAAUUCCUUGUCGGUUAAAUACCGACCUGCAUGAAUGGCGUAACGAGAUGGGAGCUGUCUCAAAGAGGGAUCCAGUGAAAUUGUAGUGGAGGUGAAAAUUCCUCCUACCCGCGGCAAGACGGAAAGACCCCGUGGACCU
RNAcentral lists this ribosomal RNA (2095 nucleotides) under Campylobacter jejuni. Its description in RNAcentral is "partial 23S ribosomal RNA". It matches the Rfam family "Bacterial large subunit ribosomal RNA", at positions 1 to 2100 of the family's 2925-position model. Lineage: Bacteria; Pseudomonadati; Campylobacterota; Epsilonproteobacteria; Campylobacterales; Campylobacteraceae. The record is from RNAcentral.